AAGUUGAAAUCAUCCCUUCGUAAAUUUUACGGACGCCAUCACGAGUUGAUUGACCGUUAUGGAAUAACCGUUUCACAAAUGAUAUCGGAUAUGUUCCUUACGUCGUAACUACAAUCCCCUUCCCUUUCAUGAAUGCGACCUACCGAAUUAGACUAUUUACCGGAUUUGUAACCACAUAAGCAACACGACGGGUGCCACAUGUGGAGCAGGAUCUGCUUACCCUUCCGGAGCACCUGAGAUCACCCCUAGUUUUUGGUGGGGUUCGUGUUGUUUAUUCUUUAGUUUUCUAUGUUGUGUCAUG
RNAcentral lists this long non-coding RNA (301 nucleotides) under Mytilus galloprovincialis (Mediterranean mussel). Lineage: Eukaryota; Metazoa; Mollusca; Bivalvia; Mytilida; Mytilidae. The record is from RNAcentral.